CCUACGGGAGGCAGCAGUAGGGAAUAUUGGGCAAUGGAGGCAACUCUGACCCAGCCAUGCCGCGUGCAGGAAGAAGGCGUUAUGCGUUGUAAACUGCUUUUAUAUAGGAAGAAAUAGUCCUUGCGAGGAAAGUUGACGGUACUAUAUGAAUAAGCACCGGCUAACUCCGUGCCAGCAGCCGCGGUAAUACGGAGGGUGCAAGCGUUGUCCGGAUUUAUUGGGUUUAAAGGGUGCGUAGGCGGUUUAUUAAGUCAGUGGUGAAAGACGGUCGCUCAACGAUUGCAGUGCCAUUGAUACUGGUAGACUUGAGUGGGAUUGAGGUAGCUGGAAUGGAUAGUGUAGCGGUGAAAUGCAUAGAUAUUAUCCAGAACACCAAUUGCGUAGGCAAGUUACUAAGUCUCAACUGACGCUGAGGCACGAAAGUGUGGGUAUCAAACAGGAUUAGAUACCCUGGUAGUCCACACUGUAAACGAUGAUAACUAACUGUUGGCUUUCGGGUCAGUGGUACAGAGAAAUCGUUAAGUUAUCCACCUGGGGAGUAACGCCGGCAACGGUUGAAACUUCAAAUGAAUUGACGG
This 578-nucleotide ribosomal RNA is filed under the name uncultured bacterium. RNAcentral describes it as "bacterial SSU rRNA". It matches the Rfam family "Bacterial small subunit ribosomal RNA", at positions 338 to 916 of the family's 1533-position model. The record is from RNAcentral.